RNAcentral lists this small RNA (66 nucleotides) under Myotis lucifugus (little brown bat). RNAcentral's name for it is "GRIK4 3 prime UTR element (ENSMLUG00000027005.1)". Lineage: Eukaryota; Metazoa; Chordata; Mammalia; Chiroptera; Vespertilionidae. The record is from RNAcentral.
UAGAGGCGGCAGAGACAGGAACGGAGCCAAGGCGAUGGAGGCAGGAGGCAGGAGGGAAACCAGCCG